UACGUAGGGGGCAAGCGUUAUCCGGAUUUACUGGGUGUAAAGGGAGCGCAGACGGUAUGGCAAGUCUGAUGUGAAAACCCGGGGCUCAACCCCGGGACUGCAUUGGAAACUGUCGGACUAGAGUGUCGGAGAGGCAAGUGGAAUUCCUAGUGUAGCGGUGAAAUGCGUAGAUAUUAGGAGGAACACCAGUGGCGAAGGCGGCUUGCUGGACGAUGACUGACGUUGAGGCUCGAAAGCGUGGGGAGCAAACAGG
This 253-nucleotide ribosomal RNA is filed under the name uncultured bacterium. RNAcentral's name for it is "partial 16S ribosomal RNA". It matches the Rfam family "Bacterial small subunit ribosomal RNA", at positions 524 to 776 of the family's 1533-position model. The record is from RNAcentral.